AACGCAAAUUGCGCUUUCGGGAUAGUCCUGAAAGCACGCCUCUUUGAGUAUCGAUUCAACCAACGCUCUACGGCGUGCUUAUUUAUUUAAGCAUUGCGCAGUAGGAGUUGAACUGAGUUUCAUAGCCGUUAAAAGCUAUGUGACUUUAAGCAACGACAGACGUUCCUGGAUGCUAGAAAGCAUUAAGUUGAACCUGUCGGCCAAAAGCAAUGCGGUUAAUUUGUCCUUCGGGGUGAAUACGACAUGCGUUUGUUUGAAGCUGACGUUCUCUUAGGAGAAAGGGUUUAGCCGAAGCUAUCAGGCGACUUGGAGCCACUUCCUAGUCUUCGGACUAGGAAAUCUCUUUCGAUUUAGAUCUCAAAUGAAGCGAGAAAACCCGCCGAACUUAA
Molecule: unclassified non-coding RNA, 389 nt
Filed under: uncultured Cercozoa
Lineage: Eukaryota; Cercozoa
Description: sequence contains ITS2
Source: RNAcentral